AGGAAUAUUGGUCAAUGGACGCAAGUCUGAACCAGCCAUGCCGCGUGCAGGAAGACGGCUCUAUGAGUUGUAAACUGCUUUUGUACGAGAGUAAACGCUCUUACGUGUAAGAGCCUGAAAGUAUCGUACGAAUAAGGAUCGGCUAACUCCGUGCCAGCAGCCGCGGUAAUACGGAGGAUCCAAGCGUUAUCCGGAUUUAUUGGGUUUAAAGGGUGCGUAGGCGGUUUGAUAAGUUAGAGGUGAAAUACCGGUGCUUAACACCGGAACUGCCUCUAAUACUGUUGGACUAGAGAGUAGUUGCGGUAGGCGGAAUGUAUGGUGUAGCGGUGAAAUGCUUAGAGAUCAUACAGAACACCGAUUGCGAAGGCAGCUUACCAAACUAUAUCUGACGUUGAGGCACGAAAGCGUGGGGAGCAAACAGGAUUAGAUACCCUGGUAGUCCACGCAGUAAACGAUGAUAACUCGCUGUCGGCGAUACACGGUCGGCGGCUAAGCGAAAGCGAUAAGUUAUCCACCUGGGGAGUACGUUCGCAAGAAUGAAACUCAAAGGAAUUGACGGGGGCCCGCACAAGCGGAGGAACAUGUGGUUUAAUUCGAUGAUACGCGAGGAACCUUACCCGGGCUUGAAAGUUACUGACGAUUCUGGAAACAGGAUUUCCCUUCGGGGCAGGAAACUAGGUGCUGCAUGGUUGUCGUCAGCUCGUGCCGUGAGGUGUCGGGUUAAGUCCCAUAACGAGCGCAACCCCUACCGUUAGUUGCCAUCAGGUCAAGCUGGGCACUCUGGCGGGACUGCCGGUGUAAGCCGAGAGGAAGGUGGGGAUGACGUCAAAUCAGCACGGCCCUUACGUCCGGGGCUACACACGUGUUACAAUGGUAGGUACAGAGGGCAGCUACCCAGUGAUGGGAUGCGAAUCUCGAAAGCCUAUCUCAGUUCGGAUCGGAGGCUGAAACCCGCCUCCGUGAAGUUGGAUUCGCUAGUAAUCGCGCAUCAGCCAUGGCGCGGUGAAUACGUUCCCG
Molecule: ribosomal RNA, 1017 nt
Filed under: uncultured bacterium
Lineage: Bacteria
Description: bacterial SSU rRNA
Rfam family: Bacterial small subunit ribosomal RNA
Source: RNAcentral